This 254-nucleotide ribosomal RNA is filed under the name uncultured bacterium. RNAcentral describes it as "partial 16S ribosomal RNA". It matches the Rfam family "Bacterial small subunit ribosomal RNA", at positions 524 to 776 of the family's 1533-position model. The record is from RNAcentral.
UACGUAGGGUGCGAGCGUUGUCCGGAAUUAUUGGGCGUAAAGAGCUCGUAGGCGGUGUGUCGCGUCGGUCGUGAAAACUUGGGGCUUAACCCUGAGCUUGCGGUCGAUACGGGCAUCACUGGAGUUCGGCAGGGGAGACUGGAAUUCCUGGUGUAGCGGUGAAAUGCGCAGAUAUCAGGAAGAACACCAAUGGCGAAGGCAGCUCUCUGGGACGGUACUGACGCUGAGACGCGAAAGCGUGGGGAGCGAACAGG